This is a long non-coding RNA of Colias croceus (clouded yellow), 285 nucleotides long. RefSeq lists it as uncharacterized. The record is from RefSeq and is a predicted model, not a curated record. NCBI's taxonomy places the organism in Eukaryota, Metazoa, Arthropoda, Insecta, Lepidoptera, Pieridae. The transcript has 3 exons.
UUUAUUUUUUGUGGACGCACAUAAUGAUAAAAUUCAGAAUGAAGCAGAUUUGCAAUCAGCGCUAAUGCCACAAGAAUUAAAUCCAGAAUUUGUUCCAGAUAAAGAUGGUCCUCUCCGUGCGAUAUUUCCUAUCAGACAGCGACGUGACGUAUACGACACGACAUCGCUAUACGACACGACGUCGCAAGUGAAAUCGUACAGUCGUGUCGUCGCAACUGUUGUGUUGGCUAUAUCAGCAAUGGUUGAAAUUGUUGUUUAUGUAUUAGAAACUUAUUGGCUUAUUUG